UUUUAUUGACCUUGUAUGCUGGCUCAAUUCACUUUUCGGUUCUAGUAGCUUGUUUGCAGUUUCUUUGGGAUUUUCUACAUAAAUGACUAGUCUGGUAAUCAACAGGGUUUGUUUUCCUUUCCUACGUGUGUGUGUGUGUGUGUCUGUGUGUCUGUGUGUGUGCGUGCACACCAUUUUAAAAGGAAGAUUAAAUACCUGAUAAGUUGAUACCGAUAUUUCCAAUUAAAAUUAAAGUCUACAGGGUUUUUACUUAACAUCUUCUAUCUCACAUUUGUAUCUCCUUUUUCCAUUGAGAAUUCUGGUUCUCAAGGACACAAGGGAUGAAGAAUUAGAAUACCCCAUAUUGCUUACCCAAUAAUCUCGAGAUAAUGACAAUAACACUGCCAGUAAUAUGAUUACUUAAAAGUUUGAAUAAUUUUUUCAUAUAUUCUCUCUCCAUUCUCUAGUAGUUGUGCUGAAUCAAAAUUGUUAAAGCAUAUAGUAUCCAUUACAAACAUUAUUCCUCAUUUAGUCUUAGUCUUGGGUCCACAAGAAAAUAAAUAUUUAAUGUUCAUAUUAGAGUUUAAUUUGUAUCUCUGCAGUCAAUUUGGUUGUCUGAAGCUCAUUGUCAUUCUCUAGCAAACUAGUUUUGCUACAGAUACUGUUCAUGUUCUGUUUUUAUGCAGUGAUUUGGAGUGACUCAAAAAUAAUGUACUAUUACCACCAUCUUCCCUAAAUCCAUAUGAUGAUGACUUUUUGAAAAGAUCAGGCCAGAUGUCUUGUGAAAUGUCCUACAAAUUCUAGAAAUCGCUACCCAUUAGCACACAGAGACAUCCUUUUUUUUUUUUUAAAGCAUUGCACAAUAUUCCGUUGUGUGGAUAUUCCAGUUAUACAAUCAGCCUUCUAUUGAUGGGCAUCUGUGUUGUCGCCAAUCCUUUGCCACUACAAUGUUGCAAUAAAUAACCUUGUGCAUGUGUUGUUUAUUUGUGGAAGUUUAUCUUCAGUGUAGAUUCCUAACAGUGGGAUUACUGAACCAAAAGUAAAUCUGUCCACCAUGUCUUUAGCUUUUUGCAAAAACCCUUUUAUACGGGUUGUACCAUUUUAUACUUCUACCAGCAAUGAAUGAAACUGACUGUUUCUCUGCAGUCUACUCAAUGAAGUUUUCAAUCUUUUGGUAUGGCAGGAUAAUUUUACCUCGUAUUUAUCUUAUAAGUGAGGGUCAGUAUCUUUUCUUAUGCUUAUGUGUCAUUUUCAUUUUUUUUUUCCUGUGAAACAUCUGCUUACUUUUUUGUUUGUUUGUUUUUUCUAUUGUGCUUGGUGAUUCUGAGAUGUUAGAGGCUUUCCUCAUUGCCUUAAGAUCAUCCACCCAUAUUUUCUUCUAAUGCUUGAAUGUUUCCAUUUUUUAUAUUCAUUCUUGGUCCCUGUUGAAAUGACCAAUUCCAGGGGCAGGAAAAGUAUCAAACAAUGCUGAAAUAUAUUGCCAGAAAGAAAGGAAGUACUAAAAAAACAAUAAGGACACAUCAAAGCACACAGAAACAAGAUGGAAACUGGCUCCUACUGGCCAAAUCUGGGACAAAUUGAACAAUAAAAUACGUGUUAGAUUAUAAUUCACAAAAUAGAAUUUGCCGGUGCAUGCUGAUAUAUGUGAGUGAAUCAAUAAAUAAGUAAAUGGGAGAAGGAUAAUCUCUUCCAUACAGUAGAAUUCUAACUAGUAAAUGUAGAAGAAAUCAUGGAAUUAGAAAACCACCAUUUGGCAACCAGGACAGUAAUAACUGUUUCAAGCAAGAAUUCUCAAUAGAUGCUAAAAGGAGUAAGUGAAAGUAAUAACAAACAGAUUAUUCACAGGGUUUCAAAAUGUCUCCCAAUAAGAAAUGACUCAGGUUGGGUUCUCUGGAAUCAGAUGCUAAGACAGAGUUUGGGGUGCAAUGUAUUUACUAGGGACCAGCAUAUGUGAAAGGAAGGGGGAAGAGGUAUAAUUGGGCUAAGGGAGCAAUCUCACUGCAAUAUAGUCCUGGCUUCAGCAACCGGCAGGGAGCUCUGAAGUGGGCAGUUCCACCCCAUCUCACUCAGGCAUUGUGUGCAAGCUGCACCAGGAAGGGUGUGACCUUGGGUGAUAUGAGUCAUGCAGAAAGUGCUGGAAGCUAUCUGCUGACUGCACUGACCAAAACUGAGCAACAAGUCCUUCCUCAAAAAGGAAUCCGUGUGAUGUGGUGGUCUAAUAGAAUAUUAAUUACAAAGAAAAACUGUACCUUUAUAGAAUGGAGAAACAUAGCACACACUACCUUGGGUGUUGAUCAACAUUAAUGGUCCCCAA
This 2293-nucleotide long non-coding RNA is filed under the name Homo sapiens (human). Its description in RNAcentral is "HSALNT0198269". Lineage: Eukaryota; Metazoa; Chordata; Mammalia; Primates; Hominidae. The record is from RNAcentral.